Molecule: long non-coding RNA, 2840 nt
Organism: Pteropus alecto (black flying fox)
Lineage: Eukaryota; Metazoa; Chordata; Mammalia; Chiroptera; Pteropodidae
Exons: 2
Source: RefSeq, a predicted model, not a curated record
CGCCGGCCCGGGCGCGGCCGAGGAAGUGCGUGCUCCUGAGCGCGGGGAUGUUUCUUUUACCUCAAAGUGCAGGGGAGAGGAGGCCCCCAAAUUAGGCAUCAGUGAUAGAAAUUAAUGCGGGCGUAGCGCCCCCACGCCGCACCGUCCCCUCAGUGCUGGCAGGUGGGCGGGACGGGCGGCCCUGCUGUGUCCCAGGUGAGGAGGUUGAGAGCCCGCGACUAGGACGCGUGGGGGCGCAGUGAGGGGCGAAACGCUGGCCUGAGCGGGCGAGCUGCGGCGCAGCCUCCGAGGCCCGAGGUGACAAGAAUGGAGACUAUCCCACUUCGGAACCAAGGAUGUCACAACUGCCACUGGCUCGAACAGAGUUUGCUGUUCCUGUCUUAGUGUCGCUCCAGUUAUUUUGAACCGAUACUUUUACGGAUGUAGCGGAAGCUUGGCGCGUCCGUGCUGCCAGCCCCGAGCUUUUUCUUUUUCUGGAGAGGCGGCCUCAAGGAGUAUUAAAAGCAGGAACUCCAACUACCUGGGUUGGAUUUAAAUUCUUUUUUCAUUUUACUUUUUUUUAGGCGAGGCAACCCUUGGUUGACCUUACAGAUUGCAAGGACCUUGUCAAGUUGCAAUUCCUUAUUUAUUUUUUACGCCUACAGCAACUGAUCUUUCUAGGUGGUCUCCCAUCCAAGUACUAACCAGGCCCGACACUGCUUAGCUUCCGAGAUCAGACGGGAUCCCUCUUAUUCAGGGUGGCACGGUUGUAGACUGUUUUCACAUUCUGACACUGCACGUUGACUAAUUCUGUGACCCUAGCCCAGUUAGCCUAUGUGAUUCACUUUACUCAUUGGCUGCAAAGUCAGAGUGGCAAACAUAUUCGUUAAGAGGGAUAAAAGCAAGUUAAUACAUGUAAAAUGCACCGGCGGUGUAAGCACUAGUAUCGAAGUAUUUGCAUAGUAUUAUUUUGUUUCCAUUUGCUUCAGAAGUGACAGGCACUGGAGGUCCUAUGACAGCAUCCUUUCUGUUUCUUUUGUCUCUUUUCACACUCAUUUUUCUACCAGUGUUACAGUUUAGUCUCACUUUGUAACACUUCCAAGUUAUAUACUCCAUUAUUUGUGAAGGCCUCCUGUGUCCCAAGAAUAAUUCAAGUGCUGGAUAAACAUUUGGACAGAUCCUGUCCUUUAAGGAAUUUAUAUUCUCUUUGAAGGAGACAAGCAAUAAAAAUUUAAAUAAAACAAGUUCACAGGCUAAGCUAUCUGAGAAUGCGGAUGCUAUUUUAAUAGGGGUGUUGGCAGGAAGAGGUCGCUUGGUAGAGGUGAUACUUCAGUUAAGGAAAUCCUCUGAUGAGAAGGAGCAACCACGAUAUCUUGGGUGAGGGGGCCGGGUGAAGGAAAAAUGUUUCAAGUAGAAGCAGCAACCUGAGCCAAGACAGAUAGGAUGAGCUCCACAUGAUCUGGACACAGGAAUCGUGAAGUAGGAGGAAAGUGGACAGAAAUUAAUGACCACAUGCUUAGUUGCUGAUUUUCGAAAAAAGCAAGAUUACAGGAAAUGAAAUAGGCCUUUAUUGAAACAGCCUAUUCUUUCCUGGGAAGCAUCUUGGUUGUAGAAGAAGAUUGGACUUUGGCAUCAGAUAAACUUCAGUUCAAAUAGACUUGGUGAGUUAAAUAAUCCUGCUGAGCUUCAACUUGUGUAUCUUUAAACUGGAAAUAAUAACUACUUUGGUCCGAAAGAAAGCACCUAACACAAUGUUCGAAACAUAAUAACUGUUCACACGUCAGUUUCCUUCCUGUUUCUCUUGACAAGGCUCCCCGUGAAACUGUCCAAAGUCGCUGAGGCAGCUUGCUGUUCUGAGAUUGCUGCUUGGUGACCUCGCCUUGGCUUUCCUUCCACGUUUGUGGAAUCUCCACUGUUCUUUCCUACUUUCAAUAUUGUAUUGUUGCAGUUUUAGCGCUGCAGUGUUUGUCUUCUGUUGGAGUUAAUCCAAAAGUGUAUAACCCAUCUCCACUCACAUCUGCGUACCAUCGUGAAAUAUAUUUACUUCACAGCCUUGUUUUUAGUAAGACAUUUUCACACACCCGGGGGACCUUUGUUUCGUGCUUUCAGGGGGAAAACGUUUUUGACGUUUGAGAAGAGGUUCAGAAGAGGUUGCACAUUCUGCCCUUCAAAAGAAUUCGUUUCAGUAAGCGUGUUAACCCAGAUGAUCUGUCUAAAUAUAACUCGGUUUUCAACAUAUUUGAGUAUACGUCUUCUCUCCUCUUUAUUGGACAUCUGUUGCUUCGUCUGACCUGUUUCGUGGGGAAAUGCCGCUUCCUGAGCCCACGUGACUCUCCUGUUACGUUAACUGCAGGCCGAGGUGUGACCAGGCCCUCUUAAUCAGGGAACCCAUCCCUCUCUCAUGGACUGUUCACCCAUGUGGAUCUGGGAGAGAGCAGGUCUUUCCUCCUCCAGGAUUAUAAACUCUAAGGACUACACAAGUCUGGGACUGUCAGGGGCCAUCUUACUACGACAUGGAGAGAACCUAUUUGAAAAUGAAAUCACACAGAGGCCAGCAGAACUAAGAAAUGAGAGAGGGAAGCAGAGUUCUCAUGUGGAAAUAGUUUGUACUGGUUCUUGGACUUUGCAGUUGGUGAUACAUUUGAGUUGCUCAUUUGUGAAAUGUGUCCAAAAGAAUCCUGACUACACUUCUACUAGAAUGUAGAGAUCCAUGUCUUAUCAACCUUUAUAGCAACCACUGAGUCUGGGCAUGUACCUCGUGAAUAAAUGGAUUAAUGGCCUGUUAUAGCACAUCUGGUGGAAGACAUUAAUAAGUGGAUGAAUAAAUGGAAAAAUGGAAGCUUACAUUUUUAUUUACCAUA